Molecule: ribosomal RNA, 746 nt
Filed under: uncultured bacterium
Lineage: Bacteria
Description: bacterial SSU rRNA
Rfam family: Bacterial small subunit ribosomal RNA
Source: RNAcentral
AGAGUUUGAUCCUGGCUCAGGAUGAACGCUGGCGGUAUGCUUAACACAUGCAAGUCGAACGGAGUACUUCGGUACUUAGUGGCGGACGGGUGAGUAACGCGUGAGAAUCUGCCUUCAGGUUCGGGACAACCACUGGAAACGGUGGCUAAUACCGAAUGUGCAGCAAUGUGAAAAAUUUAUUGCCUGAAGAUGAGCUCGCGUCUGAUUAGCUAGUAGGUGUGGUAAGAGCGCACCUAGGCGACGAUCAGUAGCUGGUCUGAGAGGAUGAUCAGCCACACUGGGACUGAGACACGGCCCAGACUCCUACGGGAGGCAGCAGUGGGGAAUUUUCCGCAAUGGGCGAAAGCCUGACGGAGCAAUACCGCGUGAGGGAGGAAGGCUCUUGGGUUGUAAACCUCUUUUCUCAAGGAAGAAAAAAAUGACGGUACUUGAGGAAUAAGCAUCGGCUAACUCCGUGCCAGCAGCCGCGGUAAUACGGAGGAUGCAAGCGUUAUCCGGAAUGAUUGGGCGUAAAGCGUCCGCAGGUGGCUAUGUAAGUCUGCUGUUAAAGAGUCUGGCUCAACCAGAUAAAGGCAGUGGAAACUACAUGGCUAGAGUGCGUUCGGGGCAGAGGGAAUUCCUGGUGUAGCGGUGAAAUGCGUAGAGAUCAGGAAGAACACCGGUGGCGAAAGCGCUCUGCUAGGCCGCAACUGACACUGAGGGACGAAAGCUAGGGGAGCGAAUGGGAUUAGAUACCCUAGUAGUCC